UGGAAUGACAGCUGUGAGAGAGACCUUCC
This 29-nucleotide non-coding RNA is filed under the name Mus musculus (house mouse). Lineage: Eukaryota; Metazoa; Chordata; Mammalia; Rodentia; Muridae. The record is from RNAcentral.